AUUCCGCAUUAUGGGCACUUCCUCAACAAUUCCUUGUACCUUUCCCAUGCUUCAUACAAGGUUUUCCAUUCCAGCUCUCGGAAUCAAGAUAUGUCAUUUCUGAGCUU
Dioscorea cayenensis subsp. rotundata (Guinea yam) is the source of this 107-nucleotide small nucleolar RNA. The record is from RefSeq and is a predicted model, not a curated record. NCBI's taxonomy places the organism in Eukaryota, Viridiplantae, Streptophyta, Magnoliopsida, Dioscoreales, Dioscoreaceae.